UGCUUCAGUGUCCUGGUGCUGCUGCACUGCGGAGGCCAUGCAGUCCCUUAGCCAAGAUGCCUGAGGAAACCCAGACCCAAGACCAAUCGAUGGAGGAGGAGGAGGUGGAGACGUUCACCUUUCAGGCAGAAAUUGCCCAGUUGAUGUCACUGAUCAUCAAUACUUUCUAUUCGAACAAAGAGAUCUUUCUGAGAGAGCUCAUUUCAAAUUCCUCAGAUGCAUGGGACAAAAUCUGGUAUGAAAGCUUGAUGGAUCCCGGAAAAUUGGACUCUGGGAAAGAGCUGCAUAUUAACCUUAUACCAAAUAAAUAAGAUUGAACCCUCACUAUUGUGGAUACUGGAAUUGGAAUGACCAAGGCUGACUUGAUCAAUAACCUUGGUACUAUCACCAAGUCUGGGACCAAAGCAUUCACAGAAGCUUUGCAGGCUGGUGCAGAUAUCUCUAUGAUUGGCCAGUUUGGUGUUGGUUUUUAUUCUGCGUAUUUGGUUGCUGAGAAAGUAACAGUGAUCACCAAACAUAACGAUGAUGAGCAGUAUGUCUGGGAGUCCUCAGCAGGGGGAUCAUUCACAGUGAGGACAGACACAGGUGAACCUAUGGGUCAUGGAACAAAGGCUAUCGUACACCUGAAGGAAGACCAAACUGAGUACUUGGAGAACGAAUAAUAAAGGAGAUUGUGAAGAAACAUUCUCAGUUUAUUGGCUAUCCCAUUACUCUUUUUUGGAGAAAGAACGUGAUAAAGAAGUCAGCGAUGAUGAGGCUGAAGAAAAGGAAGAUAAAAAAGAAGAAAAAGAAAAAGAAGAGAAAGAGUCUGAAGACAAACCUGAAAUUGAAGAUGUUGGUUCUGAUGAAGAAGGAAAGAAGGAUGGUGACAAGAAGAAGAAGAAGAAGAUGAUUAAGGAAAAGUACAUUGAUCAAGAAGAAUGCAACAAAACAAAGCCCAUCUGGACUAGAAAUCCUGAAGAUAUUUCUAUUGAGGAGUAUGGAGAAUUCUACAAGAGCUUGAGCAAAUGACUGGGAAGAUCAUUUGGCAGUGAAGCAUUUUUCAGUUGAAGGACAGUUGGAAUUUAGAGCCCUUCUAUUUGUCCCACUACGUGUUCCUUUUGACUCCUUUGAAAACAGAAAGAAAAAGAACACCAUCAAGUCAUAUGUAUGCAGAGUUUUCAUCAUGGUUAACUGUGAGGAGCUCAUCCCUGAAUAUCUGAAUUUCAUUACAGGGGUGGUAGACUCAGAGGAUCUCCCUCUAAAUGUUUUCCAUGAGAUGUUGCAGCAAAGCAAAAAUUUGAAAGUUAUCAGGAAGAAUUUUGUUAAAAAAUGCUUAGAACUCUUCACUGAACUGGCAGAAGGUAAAGUGAACUACAAGAAGUUCUAUGAGCAGUUCUCUAAGAACAUAAAGCUUGGAAUACACGAAGACUCUCAAAAUCGGAAGAAGCUUUCAGAGCUGUUGAGUUACUACACAUCUGCCUCUGGUGAUGAGAUGGUUUCUCUCAAGGACUACUGCACCAGAAUGAAGGAAAACCAGAAACAUAUCUAUUAUAUCACAGGUGAGACCAAGGACCAAGUAGCUAACCCAGACUUUGUCAAACAUCUCGAAAACAUGGCUUAGAAGUGAUCUAUAUGAUUGAGCCCAUUGAUAAGUACUAUGUCCAACAGCUGAAGGAAUUUGAGGGGAAGACUUUAGUGUCAGUCACCAAAGAGGGCUUGGAACUUCCAGAGGAUGAAGAAGAGAAAAAGAAACAGGAAGAGGAAAAAAACAAAGUUUGAGAACCUCUGCAAAAUAAUGAAAGACAUUGGAGAAAAAAGUUGAAAAGAUGGUUGUGUCAAACUGAUUGGUAACAUCUCCAUGCUAUAUUGUCACAAGCACAUAUGGCUGGACAGCAAACAUGGAGAGAAUCAUGGAAGCUCAAGCCCUAAGAGACAACUCAACAAUGGGUUACAUGGCAGCACAGAAACACCUGGAGAUAAACCCUGACCAUUCCAUUAUUGAGACCUUAAGGCAAAAGGCAAAGGCUGAUAAGAACGACAAGUCUGUGAAGGGUCUGGUCAUCUUGCUUUAUGAAACUGAGCUCCUGUCUUCCGGCUUCAGUCUGGAAGAUCCCCAGACACAUGCUGACAGGAUCUACAGGAUGAUCAAACUUGGUCUAGUUUGAUCAAACAUUGAUGAAGAUGACCCUACUGCUGAUGAUACCAGUGCAGCUAUAACUGAAGAAAUGCCACCCCUCAAAGGAGAUGAUACAUCAUGCAUGGAAGAAGUAGACUAA
RNA transcript from Cebus imitator (Panamanian white-faced capuchin), 2258 nucleotides. It is a transcript of the gene named heat shock protein HSP 90-alpha-like, with no coding region annotated. Lineage: Eukaryota; Metazoa; Chordata; Mammalia; Primates; Cebidae. The record is from RefSeq and is a predicted model, not a curated record. The transcript has a single exon.